This 252-nucleotide ribosomal RNA is filed under the name uncultured bacterium. Its description in RNAcentral is "partial 16S ribosomal RNA". It matches the Rfam family "Bacterial small subunit ribosomal RNA", at positions 524 to 776 of the family's 1533-position model. The record is from RNAcentral.
UACGAAGGGGGCUAGCGUUGCUCGGAAUCACUGGGCGUAAAGGGUGCGUAGGUGGGCAGGUAAGUCAGUGGUGAAUCUCCGGCUUAACUCGGAAACUGCCAUUGAUACUAUCUGUCUUGAAUACCGUGGGAGGUUAGCGGAAUAUGUCAUGUAGCGGUGAAAAUGCUUAGAUAUGACAUAGAACACCAUUGCGAAGGCAGCUGGCUACACGAAUAUUGACACUGAUGCACGAAAGCGUGGGGAUCAAACAGG